CUUUCUCUAUUGCAUUAGUGAUGGUGGUAGGAGAGUCAAUGCAUGAGAUAAACUUACAGUAUAGGCUCAUCAAGGAAAGGAGAAGCUUGCCCAUAGAUGCACGAUCUUCAGUCUCCAGCUGUGCGUCUUUGUUUUCUAACCUGAAAUUCUCAAAAGGUGUUUUGGUAGGAUAAAAUGAGUGAUGAGGUGGAAUAGAAGCAAUAAGGAUAAGUAGAAAGGGGGCUUGCAGGACGAAACAAGAGUGGCCAUGGUAUAAAGUCCACUUUCACAUGGAUUAAGUAAAAGUCCAGACUUAAAGGUCAUGUUCACAUACCUGGACACAAACAACACUAUUAAAUCAAUUGUUAAACCUUAGCCACAGGUAUUGUUGUAGGGACAGACAAGGCAAGGCACCAAAGAUAGCAGGAAACAGUUUUAUUUGGCUGCAGCCAGGUUCAGAGGGCACAGCUUUUGCUGUUAAUCAAUCAAACCCCUGAACCCCGAGUUCAGGUAGUUUCAGAGUUUUAUACCCAGCAUGUAAGGGAAGGGGCUCAGAAGUUCACAGCAUACAGAAGUUUACAUAAAAGCAGUUUUUUCUUUCACUGUUCUGGGCAAGUUAAACCUUCAAGGACAUCACCUGAGAAGGGGAGAGCUUCUUCUCCCCUUUUUUUUCCUCCCCCUGCUAGCUGUACCAUGGAGCCCAAUUGGUAACUUUUCUUAUCUUAGAAAUGUAGACAUCUCUGUGAAGCCCCAGCUCAAGGCCAGAGGUUAACAUGUCUCGUUCUCCAAACUACUAUACUGGAUACAAGUUUGUGAAAAACUGGUAAGGGGGUGUUCACACCUGGAGUGCUGAUUUCUUCCCAGCCAGUGGCCAAGUAAAUCAGGGCAACACAAAAAUAGGAAGUUUAUCUACGUUGAACUCAUUUGCAGAGACUCUUUUGCUGACGGUCCCAAAAUCAACCAUGGUGAAGAGAGGAGGCCCUAAGCAACUUAGAUGCCUCAAAAAAUAAAGAACACUAGGGAUGUAGCUCAGUGGUAAAGUGCCCCUGGGUUCAAUCCCUGGUACCAAAAACAAAGAAAGAAAGAUAACCUCAUGCCAGUAAUGGUUAACAUGUCUGGUUACCAAGCAGAAUUAAAAAUACCUUCUUAGAUCACAUCUCUGUACUAUAGAUUUAUAUGUAUAAAUAUGCCUAGCAAAGAUGUAGCAAAUGCAUUCCUCUUCAACGCCCUUACUCUACCCUGUCUCUCAAAUUGUGUACUUCAUGUCAUCACAGAAAGGAAUGGGUCAGAAUGGGUCAAAGUGAGGCACAGAUCUCCCUUUGACCCAUUCUGACCUACCUUCCAUCCUGCCAUGAGGAGAGCAGCUUUCCUCUACUGUUGCACUUGGGCCAUGGUGUUCUGCCUUAUCUGGCCUAAAGCAAUGAAAUCAGCCAACCAUGGGCUGAACCUCUGAAACUGUGAGCCCAAAAUAAAUUCUUCUUCUUCCAAAUUGGUCUUUUGGGGUAUUUUGAUCACAGCAAUAUAAAGCUGACAGUGUGUGUGUGUGUGUGUGUGU
This 1534-nucleotide long non-coding RNA is filed under the name Marmota monax (woodchuck). The record is from RNAcentral. Lineage: Eukaryota; Metazoa; Chordata; Mammalia; Rodentia; Sciuridae.